AAAACUUACCAGGUCAAGACAUGGGCGUGAUUGACAGGCUAAUGACUUUUCUCGAUUCCAUGGAUGGUGGUGCAUGGUCGCACUUAGUUGGUGCAGUGAUUUGUCAGGUUUAUUCCGGUAACGAACGAGACCUCGGCCUUGUAAAUAGCUAUGCUGCUUACAGGGACAUUGGCGGCUACGCCAAGGAAGCUCGAGGCAAUUGCAGAUCUGGGAUGCCCUUAGAUGUCCUGGGUCGCACGCGUGCUACAAUGACGCCACGAACGAGCUUGCGUGAUGAAAGUUACGCAUAAUCAGCAGUCGGCGUCUUAAGGGAUAGUCUCUUGUAACUGUGGGACUCCAACUAGGAAUGUCUCGUAAGCACAAGUCAACAUCUUGUGUUGAUUACGUCCCUGCUCUUUGUACACACCGCCCGUCGCUCCUACCGAUCGAGUGUUUAGGUGAAUUUGAUGGACGUAAGGAAGUCAAAUAAACCUGAGCACUAGAGAAGAGAGUCGACAUGC
This 500-nucleotide ribosomal RNA is filed under the name uncultured Myrionecta. RNAcentral's name for it is "bacterial SSU rRNA". It matches the Rfam family "Eukaryotic small subunit ribosomal RNA", at positions 1210 to 1790 of the family's 1831-position model. Lineage: Eukaryota; Ciliophora; Litostomatea; Cyclotrichida; Mesodiniidae. The record is from RNAcentral.